AUGCAAGUCGAGCGGUAAGGCCCCUUCGGGGGUACACGAGCGGCGAACGGGUGAGUAACACGUGAGUAACCUGCCCCUGACUCUGGGAUAAGCCUGGGAAACUGGGUCUAAUACCGGAUAUGACCUCGUGCCGCAUGGUGUGGGGUGGAAAGGUGUUUUUCCGGUCAGGGAUGGGCUCGCGGCCUAUCAGCUUGUUGGUGGGGUAACGGCCUACCAAGGCGAUGACGGGUAGCCGGCCUGAGAGGGCGACCGGCCACACUGGGACUGAGACACGGCCCAGACUCCUGCGGGAGGCAGCAGUGGGGAAUAUUGCGCAAUGGGCGGAAGCCUGACGCAGCGACGCCGCGUGGGGGAUGAAGGCCUUCGGGUUGUAAACCUCUUUUACCACUCACGAAGGCCCCUGGUUUUCUGGGGGUUGACGGUAGGUGGUGAAUAAGGACCGGCUAACUACGUGCCAGCAGCCGCGGUAAUACGUAGGGUCCGAGCGUUGUCCGGAAUUAUUGGGCGUAAAGAGCUCGUAGGCGGCCUGUCGCGUCUGCUGUGAAAGUCCGGGGCUUAACUCCGGGUGUGCAGUGGAUACGGGCAGGCUUGAGGUAGGUAGGGGAGACUGGAAUUCCUGGUGUAGCGGUGAAAUGCGCAGAUAUCAGGAGGAACACCGGUGGCGAAGGCGGGUCUCUGGGCCUUACCUGACGCUGAGGAGCGAAAGCGUGGGGAGCGAACAGGAUUAGAUACCCUGGUAGUCCACGCCGUAAACGUUGGGCGCUAGGUGUGGGGACUUUCCACGGUUUCCGUGCCGUAGCUAACGCAUUAAGCG
This 814-nucleotide ribosomal RNA is filed under the name Thermobifida fusca. RNAcentral describes it as "bacterial SSU rRNA". It matches the Rfam family "Bacterial small subunit ribosomal RNA", at positions 55 to 866 of the family's 1533-position model. Lineage: Bacteria; Bacillati; Actinomycetota; Actinomycetes; Streptosporangiales; Nocardiopsidaceae. The record is from RNAcentral.